RNAcentral lists this transfer RNA (91 nucleotides) under Tilletia indica. It matches the Rfam family "tRNA". From Rfam's summary of the family: Transfer RNA (tRNA) molecules are approximately 80 nucleotides in length. RNAcentral also lists the same sequence under 1 other name. Lineage: Eukaryota; Fungi; Basidiomycota; Exobasidiomycetes; Tilletiales; Tilletiaceae. The record is from Rfam by way of RNAcentral.
GGCGCUAUAGUCUAGUGGUUAAGACGGAGGUUUUAAGAAAUCUAAACGCCUUUGUGCUCGCACAUCGCCGGUUCGAAUCCGGCUGGCGCCA